This 288-nucleotide long non-coding RNA is filed under the name Elaeis guineensis (African oil palm). RNAcentral's name for it is "long non-coding RNA (EGUI_LNC060862)". Lineage: Eukaryota; Viridiplantae; Streptophyta; Magnoliopsida; Arecales; Arecaceae. The record is from RNAcentral.
CCGAACUCCUACAGUGGGUAGUCUACUCCGAAUCUCUACUGUGACCAAAUUCCAUUCAAGCCCCUACUGUGAACACGUCUCUUCCGAACUUUCAUUACAGGUAGACUUCAGUCGAGCUUCUUCAUAGUCAGAUCCCAGACGAGCUUCUACAGCGGGACAGGACCCACUGGUCAGAUCACUACUCCAAGCUCCCAUGACAACCGAUCUUCGAUCUAGCUUCUACAAUAAGCGGUCUCCUUUCAGCCCUUUGCAAGAACCAGACCUCGAUCGAACUUCCAUAUCGAAUGG